This 117-nucleotide ribosomal RNA is filed under the name Diaphorina citri (Asian citrus psyllid). Lineage: Eukaryota; Metazoa; Arthropoda; Insecta; Hemiptera; Psyllidae. The record is from RNAcentral.
GCCAGGAGCGAUAGAACGAUGAAUGCAUCAGUUCUCAUGGAUCACUGAGCUGAAGCAACGUUGCGCAUGGUUAGUAUCCGAAUGGGUGACCAUCUGGACAAUCACGUUGUGCUGGCU